This 274-nucleotide ribosomal RNA is filed under the name uncultured bacterium. RNAcentral describes it as "partial 16S ribosomal RNA". It matches the Rfam family "Bacterial small subunit ribosomal RNA", at positions 523 to 796 of the family's 1533-position model. The record is from RNAcentral.
AUACGGAGGGUGCGAGCGUUAUCCGGAUUUAUUAGGUUUAAAGGGUGUGUAGGCGGGAGCCUAAGCCAGUGGUGAAAUCUCACAGCUUAACUGUGAAACUGCCAUUGAAACUGGGUUUCUUGAGUAUAGUUGAGGUAGGCGGAAUGUGUAAUGUAGCGGUGAAAUGCAUAGAUAUUACACAGAACACCGAUUGCGAAGGCAGCUUACUAAGCUAUUACUGACGCUGAUGCACGAAAGCGUGGGUAGCGAACAGGAUUAGAAACCCCAGUAGUCC